GUCAUAAACUCCCUUGACGUAAUGCAUUUUUUGUAGCGAAGAUUCCUGAUCUUCAUCCGAAUCCUCUCCAUUCUUUCUGUUGACAAUUUCACUCGACCCUUGACAGUGUCUAUGGCUGCCCCCAGGAAUAUGAUAUUCUGAGUGGGAAUCAUCAUACUUUUUUCCAUGUUCAACUUCCAUCCAUGGAUCACGAGUGUGGAGGGCUACAGUCUUGCUGGAUGUACCUACAAUCAGAAAGUUGUCCAAAUAAUGAUAGAUCUCUAUCCCUUUCUUUCAGAUAACUGCCACCAAAGUGAUUAGGAUCUUUCAGAAUGAUCUCGGUGCCAGGCUUAACCCAAACGGAAGUCCCUUGAACUGGUAGUGUCUUCCAAAUACAAAAAAUCUGAGGAACUUGC
Pelobates cultripes (western spadefoot toad) is the source of this 395-nucleotide non-coding RNA. NCBI's taxonomy places the organism in Eukaryota, Metazoa, Chordata, Amphibia, Anura, Pelobatidae. The record is from the annotation of a GenBank genome assembly.